UGGGGAAUUUUGGACAAUGGGGGCAACCCUGAUCCAGCAAUGCCGCGUGUGUGAAGAAGGCCUUCGGGUUGUAAAGCACUUUUGUCCGGAAAGAAAACGCCGUGGUUAAUACCCGUGGCGGAUGACGGUACCGGAAGAAUAAGCACCGGCUAACUACGUGCCAGCAGCCGCGGUAAUACGUAGGGUGCAAGCGUUAAUCGGAAUUACUGGGCGUAAAGCGUGCGCAGGCGGUCCGCUAAGACAGAUGUGAAAUCCCGGCUUAACUGGGAACUGCAUUUGUGACUGGCGGGCUAGAGUAUGGCAGAGGGGGGUAGAAUUCCACGUGUAGCAGUGAAAUGCGUGGAGAUGUGGAGGAAUACCGAUGGCGAAGGCAGCCCCCUGGGCCAAUACUGACGCUCAUGCACGAAAGCGU
Molecule: ribosomal RNA, 412 nt
Filed under: uncultured bacterium
Lineage: Bacteria
Description: partial 16S ribosomal RNA
Rfam family: Bacterial small subunit ribosomal RNA
Source: RNAcentral